UACGAAGGGGGCUAGCGUUGCUCGGAAUCACUGGGCGUAAAGCGCACGUAGGCGGACUCUUAAGUCGGUGGUGAAAUCCUGGAGCUCAACUCCAGAACUGCCUUCGAUACUGAGAGUCUCGAGUCCGAGAGAGGUGAGUGGAACUGCGAGUGUAGAGGUGAAAUUCGUAGAUAUUCGCAAGAACACCAGUGGCGAAGGCGGCUCACUGGACGACUGUUGACGCUGAGGUGGCGAAAGCGUGGGGAGCAAACAGG
This 254-nucleotide ribosomal RNA is filed under the name uncultured bacterium. RNAcentral describes it as "partial 16S ribosomal RNA". It matches the Rfam family "Bacterial small subunit ribosomal RNA", at positions 524 to 776 of the family's 1533-position model. The record is from RNAcentral.